AGGGUUUGAUCCUGGCUCAGAACGUACGCUGGCGGCACGCCUAACACAUGCAAGUCGAACGAAGUAGCAAUACUUAGUGGCAGACGGGUGAGUAACAUGUAGGUAUCUGCCCUUUGGCCUGGAAUAACACGAGGAAACUUGUGCUAAUACCGGAUAAGUCUUUACGGAGAAAGCUUUAUGCACCAUUGGAUGAGCCUGCACUUGAUUAGUUUGUUGGUGGGGUAAUGGCCUACCAAGACUUUGAUCAAUAGCUGAUUUGAGAGGAUGAUCAGCCACAUUGGGACUGAGACACGGCCCAAACUCCUACGGGAGGCAGCAGUGGGGAAUCUUGCACAAUGGAGGAAACUCUGAUGCAGCGAUGCCGCGUGAGUGAAGAAGGCCUUUGGGUUGUAAAGCUCUUUCGUCGGGGAAGAAAAUGACUGUACCCGAAUAAGAAGGUCCGGCUAACUUCGUGCCAGCAGCCGCGGUAAUACGAAGGGACCUAGCGUAGUUCGGAAUUACUGGGCUUAAAGAGUUCGUAGGUGGUUGAAAAAGUUGGUGGUGAAAUCCCAGAGCUUAACUCUGGAACUGCCAUCAAAACUUUUCAGCUAGAGUAUGAUAGAGGAAAGCAGAAUUUCUAGUGUAGAGGUGAAAUUCGUAGAUAUUAGAAAGAAUACCAAUUGCGAAGGCAGCUUUCUGGAUCAUUACUGACACUGAGGAACGAAAGCAUGGGUAGCGAAGAGGAUUAGAUACCCUCGUAGUCCAUGCCGUAAACGAUGUGUGUUAGACGUUGGAAAUUUAUUUUCAGUGUCGCAGCGAAAGCGAUAAACACACCGCCUGGGGAGUACGACCGCAAGGUUAAAACUCAAAUGAAUUGACGGGGACCCGCACAAGUAGUGGAGCAUGUGGUUUAAUUCGAAGAUACGCGCAGAACCUUACCAACACUUGACAUGUUCGUCGCGACUUUAAGAGAUUAAAGUUUUCGGUUCGGCCGGACGAAACACAGGUGCUGCAUGGCUGUCGUCAGCUCGUGUCGUGAGAUGUUGGGUUAAGUCCCGCAACGAGCGCAACCCUCACUUUUAGUUGCCAUCAUUAAGUUGGGCACUCUGAAAGAACUGCCAGUGAUAAGCUGGAGGAAGGUGGGGAUGACGUCAAGUCCUCAUGGCCCUUACGUGUUGGGCUACACACGUGCUACAAUGGUAUUUACAAAAGGAAGCAAGACGGCGACGUUUAGCAAAUCCUUAAAAAAUACCUCAGUUCGGAUUGCACUCUGCAACUCGAGUGCAUGAAGCUGGAAUUACUAGUAAUCGUGGAUCAGCGUGCCACGGUGAAUGCGUUCCCGGGUCUUGUACACACCGCCCGUCACACCAUGGGAGUUGGUUCUACCUUAAGGCAAGGUUUAAAACCCUUGACCACGGUAUAGUCAGCGACUGGGGUGAAGUCAUAACAAGGUAACCGUA
This 1439-nucleotide ribosomal RNA is filed under the name uncultured bacterium. RNAcentral describes it as "bacterial SSU rRNA". It matches the Rfam family "Bacterial small subunit ribosomal RNA". The record is from RNAcentral.